AAUGGAAUGAAAAUUGAAGCUGUUGAUGUGGCUUAUACUUUUGGGAUUGAGGAUAAGUUUCCUCCUCAGAAGCUUCUGACUUCUUUCUCCUCUUUGAUGCUUCUUUAGUAUCUCGCAGGGGGAAGCAAAUAAUUCACCUAUCUUACUGAAAGAAGCAAAUGAGAAGCAGUUGGCUGCUCUGAAAUCAGUAACAAAGCUACUUGAAGACCGCAAGCUUGAUCCAGUAAAGGUUCUUCCUGGAUGGCAACUUAGGGAAAUGAGAGACAAGCUAGAGAAAGAAAUUGCUGACCUCAGUAAAAGGAUAGAAGAUAAGGCGGCAUUAAAAAGAAAAGCAGAUGGGAAUGAGUUCUCAAAGAAGAGUCAAGAAACAAAACGUCCACGAUUUGCGGGUUCACCCCUGAUAUCCUCUCCAGGCAUUGGGUUGCUCGAACAAAGGGCUGCUGGUCAUGUGGAUGGCAGUGGCUUGUACAAUGCUUCCCUGCGAAUGAACUUGUUGGAUGGUGGAUUUUCUGGUCAUGUCAACAAUCCUUCUGUUGCUGGAUCUGUGUUGUAUGGAUCUGGUGUGGUAUCUUUGCCUGAACAUGUCCGUGGCACAGUGGCAGGAGGUGGGACUGUAAUGCAUGGUGCUGGAGUGGGUCUCUCAGCUGCAUAUAGUAUUCCAUCCACCAGUUCAUUUGCUGGAGUUCACAGGGAGAUGCUUGUUGAUAGGACCGGGCAAAUAAUGGCUAGCAAUGGUGCAGCAUAUGGAUGGCCUGGUGUUGGGGAUGCUGCCUUUAUUGAUGGUUCUCGGGGGCAGAGCUUUAUUCAUCAACCAGCAUUUGGGUUGUUUGGGCCAUCAUCAUCAAUAGAAGGUUUUGUGGGUGUAUCAAAUUCUCCACCUAUUGGUGCUGCUAAUAGGAGCUCAACGUCUGAUCUAUAUCGAUUUGCUGAUGCUGUUAAGUGAGUACAGCAGUGGUACUCAGCAAGGCUAGCCCAAUACAACCUGUUGAUUCUGAUGCUGACUCCCAUUGCCUUGUUUGAUUUGUAAAGUAAAUAUAGUUAAUUUUCUGGAAUGGAGAAAAUAGCAGAAGCAUGAGUUGAUUUUCAUUGUACAAGGUGCUGCUCUGCAUGUUAAACUUAUCUGCCAAUGCAUUGGGUCGUAUGGCAAACACAAUCCACUUAAGAUAUUUUACCUAGUGUGGAGAAAAUGCAUCGGUAAGAUCUACUGUAUUCUUUCAAGUCUUUGUGCAAUGAGAAGUUGAUGCGAGUAGUCUUUCAUUGCUAAUAUUAUGCAAGUAAUGAUGCAAGAUGCAAAAGUUGCAAAACACAAUAGAUUCUGAUUAGUCAGAAAGGUCUUAUGGAGGAAAAAGCUUGCAAGUGGUCUAAUACUGAACUAAUUAGGACUGGGAUUGGCUUAACUCAACUUCUGUUCAAAAAAUGGAGGGAAAAAUGUACUCUUGGAUUUCUUACUUUUUAUUCUGG
Molecule: unclassified non-coding RNA, 1461 nt
Filed under: Hevea brasiliensis (rubber tree)
Lineage: Eukaryota; Viridiplantae; Streptophyta; Magnoliopsida; Malpighiales; Euphorbiaceae
Source: RNAcentral